Cebus imitator (Panamanian white-faced capuchin) is the source of this 807-nucleotide long non-coding RNA. RefSeq lists it as uncharacterized. The transcript has 2 exons. The record is from RefSeq and is a predicted model, not a curated record. Lineage: Eukaryota; Metazoa; Chordata; Mammalia; Primates; Cebidae.
UCUGCUCCUGGCCCUGAGCCUUACAGAGCUGCUUAGCAUACAGCUGGGAGCAGCCAGUGCCUGCCUCUGCGCCUGCUCUUGGGGUGAAAUAAUACCAUCUUGUGAGGCAGGGUGGUUUGGAAGAAAAUGGAAAGAGUAAAGGAAUCCUGGGAUUUGCAGGAACCCCAAGGAGGAUGAGGACACUCAUUUUACAGAUGAGGGAGGGCAUCUUAUUCCUGCUGAAGCCUCUUCCUUUUCUAAUCUCAGAGCUUCCAUGAAAGUGGAUUUCUUGUGCUGUCAUUUUCACCCGGCUGGUAACACACAUCAAGUUCUCAAAAAUGUCAAAUUGGGCUCCUGCCCUAACCAUUAUUGCCACUUCACUAGGCCAUUCUCCAUUUGAAGAAUAGGAAGAGAAGGGAGAAAAUUUUCCCAGAGGAAACACUGCCUCUGUGAUACUAUUUAUUCGGCUUGGCUGUAAAGUGUGGAAAGUAAUGCAUGUUUAAAAGAAAAGAUGCGUAAUUUACAGCUUCUUAAUUCAUAAAGAAUUUGGUGAAUCAUGUUGGCCCUGUUGGAUUCUGGAGAAGUCUGAAAAUUGGCCAGAGUCAGCAAAGGUUUUUAGAAAGCUAUGCAUUUUAAUCUACUUGAAAGUUUUGGACUCAGAACGUCCUUUAACUUUGAAAGUAUACAUAUGAAACACUGGUGUAUGGAAAUUUCCACUCUGUCUCGACCAGCUGAGACUGUCCUGUGAAUGAAAGAAACCUCAGGCAUUGCCUCUAUUCCUAAAGCAUCAUUUUUCGUAAAUAAAUAAAAUGAAGAAGGGCUUUGGAU